AGAAGCCGAUGAAGGACGUUACUAACGACGAUAUGCUUUGGGGAGCUGUAAGUAAGCUUUGAUCCAGAGAUUUCCGAAUGGGGAAACCCAGCAUGAGUUAUGUCAUGUUAUCGAUAUGUGAAUACAUAGCAUAUCAGAAGGCACACCCGGAGAACUGAAACAUCUUAGUACCCGGAGGAAGAGAAAGAAAAUUCGAUUCCCUUAGUAGCGGCGAGCGAAACGGGAAGAGCCCAAACCAACAAGCUUGCUUGUUGGGGUUGUAGGACACUCUAUACGGAGUUACAAAGGACGACAUUAGACGAAUCAUCUGGAAAGAUGAAUCAAAGAAGGUAAUAAUCCUGUAGUCGAAAAUGUUGUCUCUCUUGAGUGGAUCCUGAGUACGACGGAGCACGUGAAAUUCCGUCGGAAUCUGGGAGGACCAUCUCCUAAGGCUAAAUACUCUCUAGUGACCGAUAGUGAACCAGUACCGUGAGGGAAAGGUGAAAAGCACCCCGGAAGGGGAGUGAAAUAGAACCUGAAACCGUGUGCUUACAAGUAGUCAGAGCCCGUUAAUGGGUGAUGGCGUGCCUUUUGUAGAAUGAACCGGCGAGUUACGAUUUGAUGCAAGGUUAAGCAGUAAAUGUGGAGCCGUAGCGAAAGCGAGUCUGAAUAGGGCGUUUAGUAUUUGGUCGUAGACCCGAAACCAGGUGAUCUACCCUUGGUCAGGUUGAAGUUCAGGUAACACUGAAUGGAGGACCGAACCGACUUACGUUGAAAAGUGAGCGGAUGAACUGAGGGUAGCGGAGAAAUUCCAAUCGAACCUGGAGAUAGCUGGUUCUCUCCGAAAUAGCUUUAGGGCUAGCCUCAAGUGAUGAUUAUUGGAGGUAGAGCACUGUUUGGACGAGGGGCCCCUCUCGGGUUACCGAAUUCAGACAAACUCCGAAUGCCAAUUAAUUUAACUUGGGAGUCAGAACAUGGGUGAUAAGGUCCGUGUUCGAAAGGGAAACAGCCCAGACCACCAGCUAAGGUCCCAAAAUAUAUGUUAAGUGGAAAAGGAUGUGGCGUUGCCCAGACAACUAGGAUGUUGGCUUAGAAGCAGCCAUCAUUUAAAGAGUGCGUAAUAGCUCACUAGUCGAGUGACACUGCGCCGAAAAUGUACCGGGGCUAAACAUAUUACCGAAGCUGUGGAUUGUCCUUUGGACAAUGGUAGGAGAGCGUUCU
Molecule: ribosomal RNA, 1200 nt
Filed under: Staphylococcus aureus
Lineage: Bacteria; Bacillati; Bacillota; Bacilli; Caryophanales; Staphylococcaceae
Description: partial 23S ribosomal RNA
Rfam family: Bacterial large subunit ribosomal RNA
Source: RNAcentral